GUAAAGGAAAGCCUUAAAAAGUAACGUUUAUGAAAUAUUAGGACUGUAAAAGAUAUCAGAUAUGUUUAGAAAAAUCGACCAAGCAACUGCAGUAUCAUUUAAAAAUCACAGAUAUAAACAAGAUUGUGUUGUUUAAAAGGUAUAAAAUCAACCAAGAAUUUAAUAAUACACUUCAGGAAAACUAGUUUCCAUUUCUGCUUUUUUUCUACCAUCCUUUUCUUUUUAUAUUCAUGCAAUGCAAAGAAAAAGACGUCCAAUCAUAAGCUUGCUUCCUCCAUGUAAAUCCCUGAAUUUCUCUGUCAAAUGUUAUGCAUUAUUAUUUAGUUUUAAAAAACAGUCAAUAAGAAAGAUCUAGAUUUUAGUGUGUUUGGUAAAAGAAUCGGACUUUAUCGUAUUAAAACAUAGAUAUAUCCUUUACCAAUAGAUUCGUGGACCAUGUAUCGAGAUUCGUAUCGAUUUGUGAGAGAUGGAACGAUACACACCGAUAAAAAAUAUAAAAAUAGAAUAAAACAAAUAACAAAAAAAGGUAAAAAUGUUUAAAGGUUUAAAGUUCAUUGUAUUUUGUUUAUUUGGGAUAUCAUGACAAAAGAGAAUGUGUAAACUCAUGUUAAAUUGUUGUACAAGUUGAUGUACUUUUAUUUUGAAAGGGUACGUAUUUUCCGGCUGACAUGAUCCAUGUGACCAGCAACAGCCAAUCGGGUUGUUACAAGGACGAGAGCUUUAACGUAAGUUAGCGUAGCAUCCAUUUAUACAGAAGAUGGGACGUAAAUGAUCAGAGUUUGAUACACUUUUGGUUUUGUUUCAUUUUUAAACUUUGGUAAAGUUCAGUUUUUACUUUUCCACUUGUUUUCUCCUGAUAAAAAAAAGCAAAUUUCUUUUACCGAACGGAACUUGAUCCAUCAUGAUGAAACAAGAUGGCAGCCAACCCGAAUCCUUUGAAGUGAUCCUAGCUAAGGAGCCAGAGCCCUCUGCUGGACACUGGACAACUCUUUCUACUUGGAUCUGUUUAAGGCGUUCCCCACAGAGAUGGAACCACGUUUUUACUGAAACCCCGCCCACUUUUGGUCUGUAUUUAAGGACUGCCUCAACCAGCAGAAAAUCAUCUUCAUCUGCUUUGACCUCAGUCUCGUCCGGCUCCAGACCGUCUUCAGAGGAAACAACUUCUCUCUCAAGUUUAAAAGACUUUUCCUCCUUCAGCAACAAGCUCAGUUUUAGCAUCCAAUCAUCAACAACAUGUCUGAGAUAGCACCAAUCACCGUUGUGGGUGGAGAUGGAGGAACCCCAUUUAUUUACUGGCCUGGACAAACUGGAUCAGUGCUGAAAAAGCUGGAGGUUUGGGUCGGAGAGCAUCAAGUGGGUUGUAUAAAGAUCACCAUGAGUGACGGGUCUGGGAAGACAUUUGGCCAAACCCAUAAU
Oryzias melastigma (Indian medaka) is the source of this 1416-nucleotide long non-coding RNA. RefSeq lists it as uncharacterized. The transcript has 5 exons. The record is from RefSeq and is a predicted model, not a curated record. Lineage: Eukaryota; Metazoa; Chordata; Actinopteri; Beloniformes; Adrianichthyidae.